This 660-nucleotide long non-coding RNA is filed under the name Homo sapiens (human). RNAcentral describes it as "LHRI_LNC81.1". Lineage: Eukaryota; Metazoa; Chordata; Mammalia; Primates; Hominidae. The record is from RNAcentral.
GGCGGUGGGGGCGGGGGGGGGAGUCUCACUAUGUUGCCCAGGCUGGUCUCGAGCCCUGGCCGCAAGAGAUCCUCCCGCCUCGGCCUCCCAAAGCGCUGAGAUUACAGGCGUGAGCCACCACGCCCGGCGUAAGAUUUUGUUUUUAAAGGCCUAAUUACAGUGAGAACAGAUGAGGCAAGGACACCCAUUAGGAGGCUAUUACAUAAUCUAGAUGAAAAGUGAGAGCGGCCCGAAUUAGGAGGUGGAGCGAAAAGAAUGGAGAAAUAUGGAGCAUAGUCAAGACGCAGUUGUUAACGAUUUGCCGGUUUCUGGCCUUAACAUCUGAGAGUAGUGUGCCUCCAGUCACUGAAAUAAUGAACACAGGAGAGGUGUAAAGGAAUCAGUUUGCAGGGCAGACAAUAUGUUUUUUAAAAGAUACAGUAUCAUAAAAUGCACACUAGAAGUGUACAUUCAGUGGUUUCCAGUACGUUCACAGGAUUUGCAGCCAUCGUCGCUAAUUCCAGAACGUUUUAAAACCCCAAAUCGAACCUGCCGUACCCAUUCGUAGUCACUCCGCAAUUCCCCCGACCCCAUCCCCUGGCAAUCACUUAUCGGCUUUCUGUCUCUGUGGUUUUGCGUAUUCAGUACAUUUUAUGUAAAUGGGAUCAUGUGAUACUUGGC